UCCCAGUGACGAGUUGCCAUGCUGAUACUGAGAGGGCAUCAUUGCCCUCGUUUGGGUGCCAGUGAGUUUAACAAAACUUCUCCAUGGAGACCUGAAGGAC
Molecule: small nucleolar RNA, 100 nt
Organism: Ictidomys tridecemlineatus (thirteen-lined ground squirrel)
Lineage: Eukaryota; Metazoa; Chordata; Mammalia; Rodentia; Sciuridae
Source: Ensembl